ACGGGAGGCAGCAGUGGGGAAUAUUGGGCAAUGGGCGAAAGCCUGACCCAGCAACGCCGCGUGAAGGAAGAAGGUCUUCGGAUUGUAAACUUCUUUUAUGUGGGACGAACAAAUGACGGUACCACAUGAAUAAGCCACGGCUAACUACGUGCCAGCAGCCGCGGUAAUACGGAGGAUGCGAGCGUUAUCCGGAUUUAUUGGGUUUAAAGGGUGCGUAGGCGGCCCCUUAAGUCGGCGGUGAAAUUUCCGGGCUCAACCCGGUCACUGCCGUCGAAACUGGGGGGCUUGAGUGCGUUUGGGGUGGCUGGAAUGUGCGGUGUAGCGGUGAAAUGCAUAGAUAUCGCACAGAACGCCGAUCGCGGAGGCAGGUCACCAAGCCGCAACUGACGCUGAGGCACGAAAGCGCGGGGAUCGAACAGGAUUAGAUACCCUGGUA
Molecule: ribosomal RNA, 436 nt
Filed under: uncultured bacterium
Lineage: Bacteria
Description: partial 16S ribosomal RNA
Rfam family: Bacterial small subunit ribosomal RNA
Source: RNAcentral